Molecule: long non-coding RNA, 928 nt
Filed under: Sus scrofa (pig)
Lineage: Eukaryota; Metazoa; Chordata; Mammalia; Artiodactyla; Suidae
Description: lncRNA (ENSSSCG00065035160.1)
Source: RNAcentral
GGCGAAGACAAGGGAGAUCCGGCUACGUCCCUCCCCUAGGUCUCUGGAAGCUGAAGCCGCUGCAGCCAAGGCCUGGUUUCAUUCUGGCUGGGGGCUGAGGGCUGGAGUUGGACAGCUGGCCUCUCUGCGGUUCCCCCAUUAUGGCUUGGCAUCAGCAUCUAGAUUGCAGGAUUGAUGGAGCCAGAAACCUCCUGCAGGGGCCCCCAGAGGUUCUUGCAUCCAGUGUGGCAUCCAGACAGUGUGUGGUUAAUGAGUCCGAAGAAAGGACCAGCGUCGUGGAGGAGUCCGGCAGCCCUGCAGGAGCACCUGGAGCACCUGGCUGUGGAGGGGCUUCUGGAAGGAAGCACAGGAGCAGAGGAAGGAGAAGGAGUUCAAAUGCCCGUACCUCCCGGGAGUUCCCAUCGUGGCGCAGUGGAAACGAAUCCAACUAGGAACCAUAAAGUUGCAGGUUCAUCAUUUUCUGGGACCAGAGUCCAGUCUCCUGAAUUCUAGCUCUUCUUGGGAACAGCAGGUAGAAGGAGUGAAUCCUACAGGACUCCCAGGACAGCCCUUCUGCUCUUUCAGGGCAGUCACCUUGUCCACACCCCACCUUAUCAUCUUGGGGCUACACCUGCCAGGCCUCCUUACGCUGCCGCUUUAGAGUCCCCACACAACCUCAGCUCUGACAAGAAUUGAUUACGCUUCCGGUCUGAUGGCAGCGCCCCUGGUUUCCAGGGAGUUCCGAGUCUGGGAGAUAGUCUUCUGACAACCAAAACAAUGAAUAGCAAAAUUGCACGGGCAUUUGGGACUGUUGGAUGUCCAGCUGGCACACUUGCUGGUCUAGAAAUGUCCUCAGAGGUGAGUGGGUUUAGUCAAGCCGACCAGAGAGAAGAAUUUUUUAAUUCUAAAACAGCUGUCCUUAUAAAAUAAAAAUAAAUAAAAUAAAACA